Molecule: ribosomal RNA, 593 nt
Filed under: Campylobacter jejuni
Lineage: Bacteria; Pseudomonadati; Campylobacterota; Epsilonproteobacteria; Campylobacterales; Campylobacteraceae
Description: bacterial SSU rRNA
Rfam family: Bacterial small subunit ribosomal RNA
Source: RNAcentral
UGCAGUCGAACGAUGAAGCUUUUAGCUUGCUAGAAGUGGAUUAGUGGCGCACGGGUGAGUAAGGUAUAGUUAAUCUGCCCUACACAAGAGGACAACAGUUGGAAACGACUGCUAAUACUCUAUACUCCUGCUUAACACAAGUUGAGUAGGGAAAGUUUUUCGGUGUAGGAUGAGACUAUAUAGUAUCAGCUAGUUGGUAAGGUAAUGGCUUACCAAGGCUAUGACGCUUAACUGGUCUGAGAGGAUGAUCAGUCACACUGGAACUGAGACACGGUCCAGACUCCUACGGGAGGCAGCAGUAGGGAAUAUUGCGCAAUGGGGGAAACCCUGACGCAGCAACGCCGCGUGGAGGAUGACACUUUUCGGAGCGUAAACUCCUUUUCUUAGGGAAGAAUUCUGACGGUACCUAAGGAAUAAGCACCGGCUAACUCCGUGCCAGCAGCCGCGGUAAUACGGAGGGUGCAAGCGUUACUCGGAAUCACUGGGCGUAAAGGGCGCGUAGGCGGAUUAUCAAGUCUCUUGUGAAAUCUAAUGGCUUAACCAUUAAACUGCUUGGGAAACUGAUAGUCUAGAGUGAGGGAGAGGUAGAUGGA